Molecule: long non-coding RNA, 4591 nt
Filed under: Capsella grandiflora
Lineage: Eukaryota; Viridiplantae; Streptophyta; Magnoliopsida; Brassicales; Brassicaceae
Description: long non-coding RNA (CGRA_LNC000398)
Source: RNAcentral
AAAGAUGUUCUCCAUUAUUUUAGCUAUCUGGGGAUUCCUUUCAUUUGUCUAUCAGCACUACCUCGACGAAAAGAAGAUGAAGACUUGCCACAAAAAACCUGUCGAGGAAGAUACACAAACUUAAUGAAACGUAGCUGCCUUGAAGCCAAGGUCACACAAACAAACAUACAAAGUUGUGCACACAAUCAUGCAUAUAUUCUAUAUAUAAAGCUUGUCUGUGUAAUUUCCAUAAUGGCCCCUGCAAAUGGAUGCAUGUCUCUCUGUACAGCUUGAACAUCUAUAUCAGUCAUGUGCAAGUCUCUUAGGCCAAAUAUUCAUUAUUUAAUAAGUAAAUAAAUUUUGUACAAAAAGGUGCCCAAAUUCCAGAUAUUUAGAACAUCUAGUCAAAAACGAAUUGUCUAAUACAAAAAGGGUGAACAAAGCACACGUUUAUUUGUGAUAUUUUCACUUUGUGAGUGUGACUCCUGAUAAAUAUUGACUAGUCAGCCAUAACUUACAAAGAUGUCAAUGCACUCUUCUGCUUUCUAGUUUCAAAACGCACCUAAAAUAUUGUGAAACAAGAACAAACAGCAGGUCAUGUAUACUGAAAAAAAAGAACAAGAUAUAUUUGACAGAUAGGUCCAAACAUCCUUGGGGAAACAAAGCUUUGAACAAAAAGUAAAUGGGCCAGAAACAAUACCAUUUCAUAAAGCUACUUGUCCAAUUGCUGUUGGCUGGUUGCAAAUGUCUUCUCUUGAAAAGAUAGGCGAGACAAAAUCUUCAAUGUUUUAGCUGGCGAGACAAAAUCUUCAAUGUUUUAGCUAACGCCAGCAUAUUCUUGAUGGCAAAAACAUCAAAACUAGCCAUGGAAACCCAAAGUGCGUUCAUAAUCCAAAUAAAUUCAAAAAGAGGAAGAAGUUUUACAAUUGUCAUGCUGAAGAUCACACAAUACUACAACUUGUGCACAUGUUCGUACAUGUCAUACAUGCGUAUGCAUAUGAAGUUUUCUAUUUGUCUAUGCGUAUAAGGUUCAUGUUUCUCCACAUAGUUACAGAAGAAAUGAUGAGUAAAUAUUGGCUAGAAAUAAUGUCCUCCUUCAUUUAACACAUCCCUUGGUCAACAAUAGUGGCAUCUUUGCAUGUAGGAAGACUACACAAACUAAAUUCAUGGAAAAGAGAAGAGAUAUGGUUGUCAUUUACUGUAUGUGGGGCCAAGAACAAUGAAAACUUAGACGGUGACAGAAUCCUAAUCACUGAAUAAAUAGCUAUAGCAUAUCAUCACACCCAUAUCAAAGGAGCCAUCAUUUGGUAGCAUUAGCAACUCAGAAAAUUGAUCAUAAGAUACCUCAUACUUAGAAUCUGUUCAGAACAUCAUUCGUUCCUCCUUGUCCAUCUCCAAGGAGGUUAUUCAACAUCCAUCAUGAUGGCGGAUCAAGAACUACAAGUCAUCGGUGAGUAAACCAGUUCGUUGUGAACGUACUAGUCUUUCAUCUUCAAAAAAGGAAAAAAAAAAUGGUUAUGAUUCUUAAUUAUUCAAUAUACAAAACGAUUGAAAACAAAAUAAACUAUAAACUAAUUUUGUGUUAUUUUUCAUCACUUACCAGUUCAGCAGGGAAAAGAACCAAAUCCAACAGUUCAAGAUGAAAGAAAUUCGGUCAGUAGCAGCCAAACAGAAGAAUCUCACUCAAACAAUUACAAACGGUGGUUCCGGGUGACUAUCUAUACAUUUUUUGUUAUUUCAGGCCAAUCAGUUGCUACAAUUCUCGGCAGAUUAUACUACGACAACGGAGGAAAUAGUAAAUGGCUAGCAACGGUAGUUCAACUUGUUGGCUUUCCUGUCCUACUUCCAUAUUAUCUCUUGUCACUUAAAACACAUGCAACUACUAAUAGAGAUGGAAAAAGAACCUCACCUAGGAACCGUGUAUUGGUUUACGUAGUGCUAGGACUUCUUGUAGGAGCAGAUUGCUAUCUGUACUCCAUCGGACUGCUUUACUUACCCGUUUCUACCUAUUCCCUGAUCUGUGCAUCUCAGUUAGCCUUCAACGCUUUCUUCUCUUUUUUUCUCAACUCACAAAAGCUAACUCCUAUCAUUUUGAAUUCUCUUUUCCUACUAACUAUAUCUUCCAUCCUCCUCGCGUUCAAUAAUGAGGAGUCAAAUGCCACAAAAGUUACAAAAGGAGAGUAUGUCAAAGGUUUCAUAUGCACUGUUGGUGCGUCUGCUGGGUAUGGUCUAGUCUUAUCCCUACAACAGCUAGCCUUCCUUAAAGUUCUAAGGAGGCAAAAUUUCUCAGAAGUUAUGGAUAUGAUAAUCUACGUGAGUCUAGUGGCCAGUUGUGUUAGCGUGGUGGGGCUUUUUGCUAGCAGCGAGUGGAAAACAUUGAGCAGUGAAAUGGAAAACUACAAACCUGGGAAGGUAUCCUACGUUAUGAACCUAGUGUGGACAGCUAUUACCUGGCAGGUAUUCUCCAUUGGUGGCACAGGACUGAUCUUUGAGCUUUCUUCUCUAUUCUCAAAUGCCAUAAGCGUUCUGGGACUCCCCGUGGUUCCCAUCCUGGCUGUCAUCAUUUUCCAUGACAAGAUGAAUGGGUUAAAGGUGAUUUCUAUGAUCCUAGCUAUUUGGGGUUUCACUUCAUAUGUGUACCAACAAUAUCUUGAUGAUAAAAACUUGAAGAAAAGUCAUGGAAUCCCAACAACAGAAUCCCCUGACCCACCAGAAGCAGAAGGUGUAGUCGGCAAUCAAAAUAAGCUGAUAUCCUGAAAGAUGGUGUUCCGCAGAUUACUGACUUCAUCGAGCUGAUUGAGUAAGAUUACUUUACUUAUGGCCUACAGUGAAAAAUAAACAUAAAACAUUUUUGAUGCAACUCAAGUAAAGUCUCAAUUGAUUUUUUUUUUUUUGCAUCAUUGUAACAGGAAAUAGAUUUCAUUUAAAUAAAUAGUGAAUAACGUAACUCUGGUUUAAUUUUGAUUAUGAUUAUCCAAUUUACAUCUUAAUCUCAGUGAAACUGCAUACUAUCAAAGUUCAUUGUUUAAAGCUUGAGUUCAUAGCAGCUUAACAUGAGUAUUACGAAAAUGUAACUCAACUCUGUAUAUAAUGAGAGCGUCUAGGCAGAAUGAUAAAAGCAGACAUUCAUUUAACAAAAACACUUAGCCAUAACUUACAAGGAUUUCAAUGCACCAUUCGGCUUUCUCUAGUUUUACCUGAAAUAUUGUGAAACAAUGACAAACGGAAAUCAAGUCUAAUGAAAAAAGAAGAAAUCUUAAGCAGACAGGUCCAAACAUCCUUAGGGAAAAAGAGUAAUAAAUGACCAGAAAUUAUACCAUUUGGAAGUCUCUAGCAGUUAAAGUGACUUCCUCUGCCAACCAAUAUUUAUGUUGCAAAUGUCUUUUUUUGCAAAGAUUGGUGAGACGUAAUCUCCAUAAAUAUGUUCCUAAUUCACAUGCCUGAUCAUAAGAGAAAGAUAGUCAGACGGAACAAACCAAAGAAAUUAAAGAAGACGAAGUUCUUUCAAAAUAGUCAUCCUGAAGGCCACGCAAUCAUACAACUUGUGUGCAUGAGUGUUACGUUUGUAUUUAUGCGUAUCAGCGUAUGGUUCAUGUGUCUCCACACAGCUUUAAACUACUGAGUAAAUAAUGGCUACACAUCAUUUCCUUCUUGAAUUGACUCAAAUCAUCUCUAGAUCAACAAUAGUGACAUCUUUGGAUGUUAAAAAAAUAAAAAAUUAAAUUCGUAGCUAGAGAAAGAUAUACAAUUUGGCAUUUACUGAAUGUGGGGACCAAUGCAAUGAAAACUUAGACGGUGACCGCUUCCGAAAUCCCUUAAUAUAUAGCUACAGCAUGUCUCACCCAUAUCACAGAAGCAAUCACUUGGUAGCAUUAGUAACCAAGAAGACUGAUAAUAAGAUACCUUAUACUUCGAAUCUGUUCAGAAGACUGUUAGUCCCUCCUUGUCCAUCUCGAAGUAGGCGAUUCCAAUUCCACUAUGAAGGGGAAUCAAGAACUACAAGUCAUUGGUGAGUAAGCAUAAACCAGUUUGUCAAGAACCUACCGGUCUUUUAUCUUCAAAGAAAAGAACGGAAAAGAUUAUUAUGGUAUCUUUAUAAAUCAUUAUAUAUCAAAAUUCUUUAUGAGUGACAACAAAUAAAUCGUAAACUAAUUUCUAACGUUAUUUUCCAUCACUUACCAGUUCAGCAGGAAAAAGAAACAAAUCCAACAGAUCAGGACGAAAGAAAUUGGGUCAGUGGCAGCCAAACAAAAGUAUCUCACUCUAAUACUUACCAACGGUGGCUCCGGAUGGCUUUCUAUACAUUCUUUGUCAUUUCAGGCCAAUCAGCUGCUACAAUUCUGGGCAGGCUAUACUAUGAAAAUGGAGGAAACAGCAAAUGGCUAGCAACAAUAGUUCAGCUUGUAGGCUUUCCUAUUCUACUUCCAUAUUAUCUCUUGUCAGUCAAAACAUAUACAACAACUCAAAGAGAUGACAAAAUAACCUCACUUAGGAACCGUGCAUUGGUUUACAUAGUGCUUGGACUUCUUCUAGGAGCAGCUUGCUACCUAUACUCCAUCGGACUGCUUUACCUACCCGUUUCUACCCUUUCCCUGAUCUGUACAUCACAGUU